This 505-nucleotide ribosomal RNA is filed under the name uncultured bacterium. Its description in RNAcentral is "partial 16S ribosomal RNA". It matches the Rfam family "Bacterial small subunit ribosomal RNA", at positions 28 to 507 of the family's 1533-position model. The record is from RNAcentral.
GACGAACGCUGGCGGCGUGCCUAAUACAUGCAAGUGGGACGCAAGGACACACACUGUGCUUGCACACCGUGUUUUCUUGAGUCGCGAACGGGUGAGUAACGCGUAGGUAACCUGCCUAUUAGCGGGGGAUAACUAUUGGAAACGAUAGCUAAUACCGCAUAAUAUUAAUUAUUGCAUGAUAAUUGAUUGAAAGAUGCAAGCGCAUCACUAGUAGAUGGACCUGCGUUGUAUUAGCUAGUUGGUAAGGUAAGAGCUUACCAAGGCGACGAUACAUAGCCGACCUGAGAGGGUGAUCGGCCACACUGGGACUGAGACACGGCCCAGACUCCUACGGGAGGCAGCAGUAGGGAAUCUUCGGCAAUGGACGAAAGUCUGACCGAGCAACGCCGCGUGAGUGAAGAAGGGUUUCGGUUCGUAAAGCUCUGUUGUAAGUCAAGAACGUGUGUGAGAGUGGAAAGUUCACACAGUGACGGUAGCUUACCAGAAAGAGACGGCUAACUACGUG